Molecule: non-coding RNA, 24 nt
Filed under: Arabidopsis thaliana (thale cress)
Lineage: Eukaryota; Viridiplantae; Streptophyta; Magnoliopsida; Brassicales; Brassicaceae
Source: RNAcentral
UGCUCAUUUGAUCCUCCACGUGAU